Molecule: unclassified non-coding RNA, 276 nt
Filed under: plant metagenome
Description: partial contains small subunit ribosomal RNA, internal transcribed spacer 1, and 5.8S ribosomal RNA
Rfam family: 5.8S ribosomal RNA (bases 228-276)
Source: RNAcentral
UUUCCGUAGGUGAACCUGCGGAAGGAUCAUUAUCGAAAUACUUAUUUAGCGUUCCGUGCUAUCCCAUUGUUUUAUUUACCCUGUUGCUUCCACUGGAUGAGUUUCCAUACCUUGUGUUUGAGAAACUUUGGCUUGUGUAAGAUUCAUUCACGGCCAGCCAGUGAGAAGACCAUUUACAAAACCCUGUUAAGAACCAAUUGUCUGAAUAUUUUACUCCAAUGAAAUAAAACUUUCAACAACGGAUCUCUAGGCUCUUGCAUCGACGAAGAACGCAGC